RNAcentral lists this long non-coding RNA (2658 nucleotides) under Homo sapiens (human). Its description in RNAcentral is "non-protein coding lnc-RHEX-4:1". Lineage: Eukaryota; Metazoa; Chordata; Mammalia; Primates; Hominidae. The record is from RNAcentral.
GUCAUGGUUUGUGCUGUAUCCAUGCUGUGCCCUCUCUUUGGAAUGGGUCCUCUUCCUUGAACCUGUAAAACUUAUUCAUCCUUUAAAGCAGCUCAGAUGCCACCCCUCCAGGAAGCCUUCCCUGCUCCCCUGUGCGGGAUCCCAAGCAGGAUUCCUCAGCAUCUCCCCUUGCCUUCUGCACAGAGUUCAUCAGUAUGCUCUCAGCAUCUCCUCUGCAGUGUCUUUGUACACUCUUGUAUUAUUGCACUCAUCAUAUUACAUUGCGAUCUCUUCAUUUACAUCUCUUUGUUUACAACUCACUGAGCACCUUCAGGAAAGAAUGGUCUUUUAUUCAUUUCUGCAUGUCCAGCUCCUGACACAUAGUAAGCACUACAAUGUUUAUAAGUUGAAUUGAACUGUCUUCUGAGUUGAGUUUGGAUGUGAUAGUGCCAUGAUGGCACGCUUCUGCAUUUCUCCCCGACUCCAGUAAGAAACCCAUGCCCUAUGUUAAUAUUAUUUGAAAUUUGAUAUAGAUUAAACUUUGUGAAUAUAUUUGCAUUAUACAAGGACAAGUACAAACUACAUAGCCUUAUGGAUCCUCCCCCACGGGGGUGUGUUUCUCCUUAAAUUUAUUGCUGGCACAGCCCUCUUUAGAAUCACUGCCCUCUUUAGAGUCACUGCCCUAGAGCUAUACUUGCUUUGACCAAAUUUCUUCAGUCACAUCUCUUACCUUGGAAACCAAGAAAAAUGUUAACACUGAAAUUCCCGAGAGUUUAAAACAAACAUAAGGCUUUCUGUAAUUGAAGCAAAAACACAUUCUACGUUUGUCCAGGAUUUAUUCACCAUUUUAAUCAGGCACUAAAAGUCUAAGUUUGAGAAAGUUUGUCUGUCUUGACCUGGAGUUAAAACUGGGUUGACCUGAAAAAGGAACUGUUUUGUUCCUUUUUCAAAGCACGGUGUGGAGAGAGCUAUUGCCUGGUUAGAAGCAGCUGUGAGAUCUUUGGUAAAUGGGGAAGGAGAGGUCCUAAGGAACAAGCAGGAAAAUGGUCCCUUAUGAUUUUUCAAGUCAUUUGGUAUGAAAUAGCCUUGACCUUAUUUAUACGUUGUGAAUGAAUGGUUCUGAACUUGAAAUAUGUAUUCGUGAGGAAGGAAAAACAGUUGGGACAUGUUCCUCCAUUUUGGUGUAUAUUUUAGGAUAUCAUCCUUUAGGAAGAAGGCAUAUUCUCUUUGUUUUUUUGUUUGUUUGUUUGUUUGUUUGUUUGUUUUUCUUAACCAUAUCUUCUAAAUGCAUUAAUCAGUGGAGAGGUGACCCAGAAAUCACUGUGAAAGUUGGGACCUUAUCUUUGCUGUUUGAGCCCAGAUCUUGCAUUUAGAAUCAUGGCAUGGUGGGCAGGAUCUGAAUACUCUCCCUGGAGAAGAUGACCCUGGCAGCCAUGGGUGGCUGGGUGGCCAGGGCUCCACAGCUGGAGAAAAAUCGAGGGGAGAGAGAGUUACUUGAUGGACCUACAGGUGAACUUGUGACUGGAUCACUUUAAUCAGGAUGUUUUAAUCAGGAUAACUAUUAAACUUUGGACUUCCAGUAAGCUCAGAGACUUCUAGAGUUAGAAAAUUCCCUGCUGUAACUGGUUUGUAUGGUUUUCCCCAUCCAUGUUGGUAGGUCAGAAAUGGAAUUUGUGUAACUCUUAGUAUUACAGAUAUUUAUGUUGUUGUGUGCAGUACUUAAAUUUAAAAGAAAAAGGAAGUUGAUUGAUUGUCCUUAAUGAAAAUUAAAGAAAUAAGGAAGUGGGAGGCUCUUAAUCUCUGACAUCUGGUCUGGGACAAACCUGGGGGAGGCAGUGUGGUUAUGGAACUGGUAUAGGGUUGAUCUAGACAUCUGGGUUGUUCGGGAAGUGACUUCAGGCCCUUUUAGGAUGUGGAGUGGCCUCUUGCCUCUUACAUUGCUCUUUAUGUAUUAGGCCUUUUGUCAACUAAGGAUUUCUUUGAGGAUUGUGAUGAAGCAUGCUGUAAUGUGGAAUUGAAAUGUUUUCAUGUUUAUGUUUGUUUUCCUUUCGCCUAAUGAAUAGGCUAGUAAUAGUCUGUUGUUUUAAAUGAGUACUAUUAAUAAUAAUGACAGCUCAUAUUUUUAUCAUUACAGCAUUUAAAAAAUAUCAUUCAUAGGGAGGAAGAAAUGUAGGGUAAUGGAGGACCAGCUAUGUAAUGUUGAAGAUGUCAUUCCACCUUUGGGAUUCUCAGCUUCUCAGCUGGAAAGUGGAAAGAUGGAUUACUAGUUCCUAGCUUCAUGAUUUUUAGGACAUAUGAACAAAAAAUGGCUAUUGUUAAGUGAGUUGUCACAUAGAGUCUAGAUGUUGAUUAUUGUCCUGGGGGAAGGAUAGAAACCAGAGAAUAGAUAGCACAGGUUCUUCCUACUCCCCUCUUCUACUUCUGGUUUAAGGUUUCAUCUUUUUUUUUUUUUCUUUGUUUUCUUCUUAAAGGUUUCAUCUUUAAAUGACAUUAAUUAGGCUUUGUGUUUUUAGCCAUUUUUAGAGUCCGUUGUGCUGUAUCUCCUGAUCUCUCUUUUUCAGUGAUUUGUGGUUAUGUAAGUUAUCUCAGUUCUUUGCUGUCAGCAAUUUUAAAUCAAACAUUGAAGCAUUUUGGGUAGAUGACGUGUUACUUUGAUUAAUGAGGUUCUUGAUCUGGAUA